Long non-coding RNA from Mus musculus (house mouse), 348 nucleotides. RefSeq annotates it as predicted gene, 41770. Lineage: Eukaryota; Metazoa; Chordata; Mammalia; Rodentia; Muridae. The transcript has 3 exons. The record is from RefSeq and is a predicted model, not a curated record.
UUCUGGAGAAUGCAAAUAUGUCUCAUGGUUGGCUGGCUAUGAGUCGGACAUAGGCCCUUUGACUCUGCUUCCAGUGAGUACCAUGGGGAUCAAUGCCAAGACUUCUAUGGAGAACUGCUCUACCUUCAGAAUGGCAGCUUUCCUACAGGAUUUUGAGUAAUCUGGAGCCCUCAUAGCAUGCAGAGCCCAGCCAAAGCACAGAAUCAUCAUGUGAUUUCACCAAGAGAGUGAGAACUUCACCAAGAGAGUGAGAACUUACCACCAUCCAUGCCCUGAACCCCUGGCUCACUCACUUAAGCACACACUGUUUCCAGCAGCCACUUGUAUUGACCAUUCAUCCUGAGUUUC